RNAcentral lists this small RNA (104 nucleotides) under Halalkalibacterium halodurans. RNAcentral's name for it is "Bacillus halodurans Guanidine-I sequence". It matches the Rfam family "Guanidine-I riboswitch aptamer". From Rfam's summary of the family: This family represents a conserved RNA structure found upstream of the ykkC and yxkD genes in Bacillus subtilis and related genes in other bacteria. The function of this family is unclear although it has been suggested that it may function to switch on efflux pumps and detoxification systems in response to harmful environmental molecules. Nelson showed that this riboswitch senses and responds to guanidine and it was renamed Guanidine-I riboswitch. The record is from RNAcentral. Lineage: Bacteria; Bacillati; Bacillota; Bacilli; Caryophanales; Bacillaceae. RNAcentral also lists the same sequence under 1 other name.
CCAAAUGUUUUCUAGGGUUCCGCUUGCAAGGCAAGGCCUGGUCCGAGAGAAAACGCAAAAAAGAUUGUCUUUUUUGUCCACGGAGGGAGAAAAGCCCGGGAGAU